RNAcentral lists this ribosomal RNA (453 nucleotides) under uncultured bacterium. Its description in RNAcentral is "SSU rRNA". It matches the Rfam family "Bacterial small subunit ribosomal RNA", at positions 26 to 518 of the family's 1533-position model. The record is from RNAcentral.
AGGAUAAACGCUGGCGGCGUGCCUAACACAUGCAAGUCGAACGUCCUACGCAAGUAGGGAGUGGCGGACGGGUGAGUAACACGUGGGCAAUCUACCUUUCGGUGAGGAAUACCGGCGAGAAAUCGCCGACAAUACCGCAUACGCUUCGCAAGAAGCAAAGUCGCAAGACGCCGGAGGAGGAGCCUGCGCCCGAUUAGCUGGUUGGUGGAGUAAUGGUCUACCAAGGCGACGAUCGGUAGCUGGUCUGAGAGGAUGAUCAGCCACACUGGGACUGAGACACGGCCCAGACUCCUACGGGAGGCAGCAGUGGGGAAUCUUGCACAAUGGGCGAAAGCCUGAUGCAGCAACGCCGCGUGAGGGACGAAGGCUUUCUGAGUUGUAAACCUCUUUCAGCAGGGACGAUUGUGACGGUACCUGCAGAAGAAGCCCCGGCAACUACGUGCCAGCAGCCGC